Molecule: unclassified non-coding RNA, 336 nt
Filed under: soil metagenome
Description: partial contains 5.8S ribosomal RNA, internal transcribed spacer 2, and large subunit ribosomal RNA
Rfam family: 5.8S ribosomal RNA (bases 1-120)
Source: RNAcentral
GAUGAAGAACGUAGCGAAAUGCGAUAAGUAGUGUGAAUUGCAGAAUUCAGUGAAUCAUCGAAUCUUUGAACGCACAUUGCGCCCCUUGGUAUUCCAUGGGGCAUGCCUGUUCGAGCGUCAUUUGUACCUUCAAGCUCUGCUUGGUGUUGGGUGUUUGUCUCGCCUUUGCGUGUAGACUCGCCUUAAAAUAAUUGGCAGCCGGCGUAUUGAUUUCGGAGCGCAGUACAUCUCGCGCUUUGCACUCAUAACGACAGCGUCCAAAAGUACAUUUUACACUCUUGACCUCGGAUCAGGUAGGGAUACCCGCUGAACUUAAGCAUAUCAAUAAGCGGAGGA